This is a long non-coding RNA of Diospyros lotus (date-plum), 790 nucleotides long. RefSeq lists it as uncharacterized. The record is from RefSeq and is a predicted model, not a curated record. Lineage: Eukaryota; Viridiplantae; Streptophyta; Magnoliopsida; Ericales; Ebenaceae. The transcript has 2 exons.
CUUGAUUGAUUCUCUUAGCCAUUUUCAUUCUUGUUGAAUUUUCCCUAAUUAGAACGGGAGUCUCCAUUUCCCAUCUAGGAUUUUGACUUGACUCCUCAAAUGAACAAUAAUGAUCGAAGAAAAAAACAUGGUCAUAAAGAAGAUCAUGACUCUUCAAAGAUGAUUAAAUUCCCUUGAUUUUGUCAAAUCUGAGCUCUAAUGGUGGCCUCCACGUCCAGCGCCCCCCCCCCCCCCCCUCUCUCUCUCUUUCUCUCUCUCCAUAUAUAUAUAUAUAUAUAUUGCUUCCUAAAAAACACAUACAUUACGCAGAGAUAGAAAGAAAUAUUGCAGCGAAUCGCUGGUUUUCCAGUUGCUUACCUAAUUCCGAUCGUCGGCGGUGUCCGGUUGGUCUCUCCGGCCUUCUUAUAUAUCGAUCACAGAUCAUAUUUGUGGAAGAAAGAAAUGGAUACGAGCGAGAAAACUAACACGAUGUUGAAACAUAGUAGCUUGAUAAAGAAGUCGUGGUCGACGGAUUCGUUAUCGUCCAGCGCGAGUCACAAUUACUUCGGAAAAACAUGCGUUUGUUCUCCGUCAAAACACGAAGGAUCGUUUCGAUGCCGGCUGCACAGAGCCUCUGUGAAGCACGAGCCCAGUGCUCCAAUGGAGCCACAGUCCAAGCCAUCAACCCUAAGUCGGAGGGAUGAAGAAAAGAAGUGAAGAAUAAUGCUCGGUGAAGUUGUGAUUUGAGUUCUGUUGUCUUGUCGUUGAAAGUAUUGAAAUCAAAGGUAUUCUUGAAUGAAUUUGAUGAUCA